This is a long non-coding RNA of Callithrix jacchus (white-tufted-ear marmoset), 2494 nucleotides long. Lineage: Eukaryota; Metazoa; Chordata; Mammalia; Primates; Cebidae. The record is from Ensembl.
AUUUGCUCCACCUUGGCCAAAGGGAAUGCUGAUGGCAAUGCAUUCUCUUUGUGAUGUUUUAUGUUAUUCUGUGAGAUUGUGCGUGUGUGUGUGUGCACAAACUUGAUAGGAAAAUUUGGUUAUUUUUAGUUCUAGGAAGUGUAAAUUAUAAAAAUGACUGUUUUGUUCUUUUUGAGACCGGGUCUCCCUCUGUCACCCAGGCUGGAAUGCAGUGGUGUGAUCUCGGCUCACUGCAAUCUCCGCCUCCCGGGCUCAAGUGAUUCUCCCACCUCUGCCCAUUCACAGGAAACUAUGCAAAUGAAUGCACAGUCUGUCACCAAAGAAAUGACAAGCAAGACAAGCACACAUCUGACUGGCCUGCUUUCGUUCACGUCAUCAUUAGUGAUAUUCUCCUGCUCCAGACUGUUCUUUCUGGGCAUAAGACAGGCAGACUUCUGCGUUCACAGUCUCUGUUAAGAGACUGCAGUCAUCCACUUCGUGGGCCCUUGACUGUUCUCCUUCAAAAGAACCAGGCAGUCAUUGCUUUUAAAGUGGACCUGACGCUCUACAGUCACAAAGCAGUUUCUUCUGAACUGUGCUAUUUGACGGCUCCAUUUCAUUUUUAGAUCUAUCCAGUGAAUUAGAUGCUGGAAAGAAGAAGCAAAGCAUUUUCUAUCUGAAAGAAUCUUGCAGCGAUUUAUUAAACACGCCUAUAAACCAAUAGUCUACAUAGAAAUAGCAUAGAAUGCACAAAAUUUCUUUUCAUUGAACUAUAAUAGUAGGAAGCCUUAUAAAGGACUAGAGGUCAGUCUGAGGGUUUUUAAAAAUGCUGUGUUUUUAGAACUGGCAGAUAUUUUGUUGAAAGCGUUCUCUCUAACACUUAAUCUAAUUAUGAGUUAAUUGAGACUAAAACGACUUUCAGUCUUAAAGGGGUUUAGAUUAAAAGGCUUUGCCUGAACAGCAUUUUUCACUGAAAAUAGGGAUGUCAUUAGUCUUGUUAGAACUCACUUCUAAACUGCAGCGAGAUACUGCUAAUGUACCUGUAUUUUCAAUGAGAUGCUAUAGCUCAGUGUCAGAAGAGUAAGAUAAAAUAAUACUGUUUCGUGGGGAACAAAGCGCAAAUGAACCAGUUUAUUAGCUAAUCAGCGUUGCUUAAGAGCAUGUCAGGAGUGGAUUGUUUCUGUGACUUUAAUGGUGAUUCAUCUUUAAGACACUUUCAAGUAGUGAAACUAUGAUUUCUUUGUUUUGCGAUAAAAAUAAAACAGAAAUAUGCAGAUUCCAUGUAGUAUAUAUUUGCUGUAUCUCCUUAAUGAAAGGAGCUAUUUAAUGUUUUCUCUACCUUGAGGUAGCUUUGGUAAAUAUUUGGAAGUUUAGAAUAAAAUACUGUCAUGACAAAGUAGGAGUGAUUUAAAUGAUAAAAAUGUUUGUUCCAGAGUAAUCCUAUUAGCAAGACUUCUACAUAAUCAGAAACUCUUAAACUACAGCUCAUGUCCAGCUGCAGUCUAAGUGUCAUUCAGACUACUCUGGAGUAGAGUUGACCCUUUGUAUCCGUGGGGUUGGCAUCUGCAGAUUCAAUCAACGUUGGAUCGAAAAUAUUUGGGGAAAAAAAAAAAGAUGUUUUUUUCUGAGCUGACCAUGUAUAGACGUUUUUCUUAUCCCCAAACAAUGCCGUGUAACAACUAUUUUCAAAGCAUUUACAUUGUUUUCGGUAUUGCAACUCUCUAGACAUAAUGUAAAGUAUAUAGGACUACAUGCAUAGGUUAUCUGCAAAUACUACAUGAUUUUGUAUAAGGGACUUGAACAUCCAUAGAUUUUGAAAUCCUGUGGGGUCCUGAACUAAUUCCUCAUGUACCCCGACAAAUGACUGUGUAAUUUAACGGGUAAGCCAGGCAUGGUUGAUGAUUUACACAUCUUUUAAAUAAAUGUCGAGCAAAUACUGAUUUGACUUGGGAACCAAGAUUGUCAUAUUCCCAGCAUAUAACUGGAUUUUAAUCACUUUCGGCUCUUUGUAUUAAGGAAGAAGCUUUUCUGUUUUUGUUUCCCCAAGUAGCCGGCUUCCUGUUUAUAGAAGGCCAAUUUUUGAAGUUAUAACUUGGAUCUGGCUAGAAUUUAUUUGGAUGAAAAACAAUGUGUGUACAUGAUGAAUAAUCUGAAAUGGUGCAAACAAGAUCACUGGUAUCUGAUGAUUAGCUCCCCAACUGAUCUUUACAACUCUAGUAAUAGAGAGUAACUUUAGACUGAUAAAUAGAAACAGACACACAAAACAUCAGAGAUGAAAAGAAAGAAGCAUCUGUAAAACAGAGAGCAAGCAGGCCUGAGUGUAAGAAGACAGAGCAAUGGUUCAGUGCCUAAUUAUCAGUCACGUUUUUGAAAGUUUCUAGUGAGAAAUAUCUCACUUUAAAAUAGCUCAUAACGUUUGGCUGAAAUGAUAGGAAUUUUAGAAAAGGUGACACUAUGCAAUUAGUGUAUUCUACCCUGGUGGUUAACUCUUCAGUGGCCCAGCAAAAUGUACGCU